This is a long non-coding RNA of Trifolium pratense (red clover), 986 nucleotides long. RefSeq lists it as uncharacterized. The record is from RefSeq and is a predicted model, not a curated record. The transcript has 3 exons. NCBI's taxonomy places the organism in Eukaryota, Viridiplantae, Streptophyta, Magnoliopsida, Fabales, Fabaceae.
UGAGAAAAAUGGAUGGAGGAGGCCAUUAAGCAUGCACUGGAAGUACAGUGAAAGUAUGAGGAGAAGAGGGCUGAAAGAAAGAAAAAUGGUGAAUAGAAAGAAAAUAUUGGUGUUUCAAGGCCAAGAGAGUCCAAAGUAAGAUAUUGAAAUCGGUUAAUAUGGUUCUUUACACUUAUCGGAAGAAGAGAUCUGGAUCAUGGAGGUGGUUCUUCACAUUAUUUUAAUGUGGCACCUCAUUCUCUUAAACUCUUCAUUUUAGCCAGCCAUUCAAUAUUGUGUGAUCGGCAAUUUUGAAAAGGUAUAUGAAACUUACAGACAUCACAACUAGAUACCGGCAUGCCUUGCCUGCACUGCUGCCUCGAUACCAAAUGGACAAAACAGGCACUCAAACACUUGUGUGCUAUUCUCGGACAUUUUCAAGAUAGACUGCUUACAAAGGACAUGGUGACAUGACAUCAACAUCAAAGGGUUAUCAUCAGUUACUUGUUCCUUCAGACAGAAUGGAUCUCGAAUUCCCUGUCCGUCUCAAUUUGCACUGGUACGUAGUAACUCACUCAUAGACUUCCAUUCCUGCUUCUUUCCUUCCAUGAUGACAUUCAUAAAUUUAAUGGAACUGUUGUAUGAAUGUCCCAAAAAGAUUGCAGAAAUUCCUUUUAAGUUCCUCGGCAAACCUAUCCAAGUUAAUUAGUGGCAGGCCCAGUUGAGGGCUGGCUCCAGGUUCUGAUUCUGUAUGGCUUGGAGUAUUUGAUACAUUUCUAGGAAUGCAGAUUUCACAAUUGCAGCAGAUUCCUGCUCUCCAAAUGAACUUUAAAAAUGGUAGGCAGUUAUUUGAUUUGAAGUCUAAAUGUCAAUGUCGAUGUUUCCAUAAGAUCGUAUAUAUCAGUGUUGGAAUAUUUCUCAAAGAUGCUUCCCAUUCUUGCUGAGUACUUACUAUUUAGAUGAAAUCUCUUUUCAAAUGGUGUGAUCUCAUAAAAUGGAAACUAUUA